AAAGAACUGUAUGCGGUGGAUCACUCGGCUCGUGGAUCGAUGAA
Molecule: ribosomal RNA, 44 nt
Filed under: Hymenolepis microstoma
Lineage: Eukaryota; Metazoa; Platyhelminthes; Cestoda; Cyclophyllidea; Hymenolepididae
Description: partial 5.8S ribosomal RNA
Source: RNAcentral